AAAUAAAGUUUGAGUUAAUGUGA
This 23-nucleotide non-coding RNA is filed under the name Cricetulus griseus (Chinese hamster). Lineage: Eukaryota; Metazoa; Chordata; Mammalia; Rodentia; Cricetidae. The record is from RNAcentral.